UACGUAGGGGGCAAGCGUUAUCCGGAAUUACUGGGUGUAAAGGGAGCGUAGACGGUAAUGUAAGUCUGGAGUGAAAGGCGGGGGCCCAACCCCCGGACUGCUCUGGAAACUAUGUUACUAGAGUGCAGGAGAGGUGAGCGGAAUUCCUAGUGUAGCGGUGAAAUGCGUAGAUAUUAGGAGGAACACCAGUGGCGAAGGCGGCUUACUGGACUGUAACUGACGUUGAGGCUCGAAAGCGUGGGGAGCAAACAGG
RNAcentral lists this ribosomal RNA (253 nucleotides) under uncultured bacterium. RNAcentral's name for it is "partial 16S ribosomal RNA". It matches the Rfam family "Bacterial small subunit ribosomal RNA", at positions 524 to 776 of the family's 1533-position model. The record is from RNAcentral.